CCAGAGAACUUAGCAGAGAUGCUUUUGGUGCCUUCGGGAACUCUGAGACAGGUGCUGCAUGGCUGUCGUCAGCUCGUGUUGUGAAAUGUUGGGUUAAGUCCCGCAACGAGCGCAACCCUUAUCCUUUGUUGCCAGCGGCUCGGCCGGGAACUCAAAGGAGACUGCCGGUGAUAAACCGGAGGAAGGUGGGGAUGACGUCAAGUCAUCAUGGCCCUUACGGCCAGGGCUACACACGUGCUACAAUGGCGCAUACAAAGAGAAGCGACCUCGCGAGAGCAAGCGGACCUCAUAAAGUGCGUCGUAGUCCGGAUUGGAGUCUGCAACUCGACUCCAUGAAGUCGGAAUCGCUAGUAAUCGUAGAUCAGAAUGCUACGGUGAAUACGUUCCCGGGCCUUGUACACACCGCCCGUCACACCAUGGGAGUGGGUUGCAAAAGAAGUAGGUAGCUUAACCUUCGGGAGGGCGCUUACCACUUUGUGAUUCAUGACUGGGGUGAAGUCGUAACAAGGUAGGCGUAGCGAG
Molecule: ribosomal RNA, 522 nt
Filed under: uncultured bacterium
Lineage: Bacteria
Description: bacterial SSU rRNA
Rfam family: Bacterial small subunit ribosomal RNA
Source: RNAcentral